CAGGCACAACCAGCUCUGCUUCUACUCUACAGCCUGCAGACAGACACCCCAUCACCCUCAACAAGUGCUGAAGGAGCAACAGCUUUCCACUGGGGUUUAGUUCAAGCUUGCUCCUUAUCGGCCCUCCAGAGCGGCUCUUUGACUUCUAGCGGCAGCUUGUUGAACAGGUCCUCCUCCACCACCAGACUGCUCCUCUUCAGCCGCCGACACUCGCCGAGCUCCACCGGGAGACACUCGAGACGGUUCCCUCUCAGCUCCAGCUGGGUCAAUCCGAAGUAGUAAUGGACAAGAAAAAGGCUGUCGCCUUUCUUCUGCUGCGUCGCAGACUACGGGCAAAGAGGAGGGCUUGGGUGCACCCCAUAAACGAACGCAGGCAAAAGCAAGGAGCUGCAGGCAGACCCUGAAAAGCAUCGAAAAUACUUCCGGACUUCCGGAGUGCAGCUGAGAUGGAGCAAAUUCUCUGCAUAAUUGGUGCAGACAUCACAAGGAUGAAUACAAAUUCCAGACGUCCCAUUGAAGCAAAACAGAAGCUUGCUGUCACAUUAAGGUACAUUGCAACAGGAGACUCUAUGUCCAGCCUGGCUUUCUGCUACCGCCUAAGAGAGAGCACUGUUGCCAGCAUUAUAAAGGACACUUGUGCUGCCAUCAAUCAAUGUAUGAUAGACACCUACAUGCCCCAGCCCACUGAAGAUGCUUGGAGAAAAGUAGCACAGAGGUUCAUUGAAAAAUGGAACUUUCCAAAUUGCAUUGGAGCUAUUGAUGGCAAGCACAUUUGCAUACAGGCACCCCAGUGCUGUGAGGGACAAGCUGUGCGAGUACUUUAACUCACCACAAGGAAGUGUCCCAUGGCAGGACCAUAUGGUUUAAAUAGAAGACACGAUGAAAAAGAAAAUGGGGAUUUUUUUAUGUGUGUUAAAAUUUGGCAUAUUUUUUUUAUUUAUGGGAGAGCUGCCAGAUCCUAGAAUUGAAAUUUGCCGUGGCUAUAGAUUAAUGGACAAUAUAGUAA
Molecule: long non-coding RNA, 1006 nt
Organism: Epinephelus fuscoguttatus (brown-marbled grouper)
Lineage: Eukaryota; Metazoa; Chordata; Actinopteri; Perciformes; Serranidae
Exons: 4
Source: RefSeq, a predicted model, not a curated record